Molecule: ribosomal RNA, 253 nt
Filed under: uncultured bacterium
Lineage: Bacteria
Description: partial 16S ribosomal RNA
Rfam family: Bacterial small subunit ribosomal RNA
Source: RNAcentral
UACGGAGGGAGCUAGCGUUGUUCGGAAUUACUGGGCGUAAAGCGCACGUAGGCGGCUAUUCAAGUCGGGGGUGAAAGCCCGGGGCUCAACCCCGGAACUGCCCUCGAAACUAGGUAGCUAGAAUCUUGGAGAGGCGAGUGGAAUUCCGAGUGUAGAGGUGAAAUUCGUAGAUAUUCGGAAGAACACCAGUGGCGAAGGCGACUCGCUGGACAAGUAUUGACGCUGAGGUGCGAAGGCGUGGGGAGCAAACAGG